AAAUUAUUUUAGGCAUGGGAUCAAAGAAGAAACUUCUUUGUAGCAGCAUCCCAGUACUAGGACUUUUUGUCUCUGCAUGGAAAUCUGAAUAUAUUUAUAUGUUGGAGUGACAUCUCUACAGGAAGCCUAGAGACCUAACUGUUUGCUACAUGUCACCAAAGUUAAAGUGGCUACCUUAAUGAGCAGCCAGGAUGCCAUCAUCUCCGACCUGAAUGACAAUAACCUCCAAACCAGCCUUUGUAUACUCCUUCCUGCUGCUCUGCAGUCCACUUCCACAGACCAGCCAACUGAAUCUCCUUAUAGAUUCAUAAUGGCCAUCAGCACAAAGAUGUUUUAUCUGCAGUCAACCAGUCAUGUUUCAUGAUGGCAUCAAAAUGUGCUGGAAAAGGUCAGAGAAAAUCAUCAUCAUAAAGUGAAGUGAUUUUCUUCUUUAUGAGCUCCUGAUGUAAACAGACUGAUGAGCACAACACAAUCCUUACUCACCCACAUGACAUCAUACACAAUCACAGCUAAAUGUUUCUAUCUGUCAAAGCCUGAAGAGUGACUACCAGAUUGUUGCCUGAUUGCUAAGAAUUGAUGCUUGUUCAACUGGGAUCUAUCCAGAGAAACAUAAUCCACUUCAAGAAUUUUCUGAAAAGGGAAUCUAAUGCAAGGAAUUAAUUGCAAAGAUGAUGCAAUAUCUGAGAACGAUAGAUUUGACAGUUUGGUCUACAUUUCAAGGCUGGUUAGAUGGGAGGAGGAAGACUAAGUGCUCUGCCUUAACUCAGGCCAGGCUGUGGGCGCAAGUGCACCAACGGCUUUGAGACUAACACACAGCUCAGAACAAGGAGGUGAAAAUCUGACAGCUCAAAAUGAAGCAAAAACCCAAGAUUAAAACAGACACCAUUUUGUGCCCACUCAGUCUUCUUUCCAGGGUCAUACAUGUGUUUAUAACCGCACUUCUACAUUCUAUUAUGAGGGCAAGAGUUGUGGCUGCUAUAUAAAUGCUUCCUAGCAUAGUUCCUGACAACUAGGUGAUUCAUGAAUAUUUGCUGAAGAAAUAAAAAUAACUUUAUGAA
Molecule: long non-coding RNA, 1058 nt
Filed under: Homo sapiens (human)
Lineage: Eukaryota; Metazoa; Chordata; Mammalia; Primates; Hominidae
Description: HSALNT0376144
Source: RNAcentral